AUCAGACUCCAAGGAGAGGCCAACAGAUGAGGGAGCCAUUUUUCUGCAAUGGAAUUAAAUGGCCAAGUGGGUUUUUCCUUUGUUGCAAAUGGGGAAUGCUUUUCCUUUGACUCCACCAUCCAGUUCAGGACGCCUGAAUGUGUUUAACAUUUGCCAAAGGACUCACACUUGGAAGAAUGAAGACCUUUUAAAAAGAUCUGGAUUUUUCCUUAUGACUUGGAAUCCAUCUUUGUCUUGUAUAACUAGGUCAUAGCACACUAUUAAUGUCAGCAGUUAACAGUUUUGAAUUCAAAAAAACCUAAAGCACUAAACAGCCCUCAGCGAAGCCGCCUUUUUGCCAGCCCAACCCUGGAAAGUUUGCAGUCGUGGAAGGAGCAGAAAUACCACGAGUGUAACUUACAAAGAAGGUCUUGGCCGGAGACCGGAGCCAUGUCUGUGUUAUCCCCACUGUAGACAAUCCUUGCUUCCUCUGGACAUCUGGAGCAGGCCCAAUUUGACUGAGAGCCUUCCCCCACUAAGUUACAGAUCCAGCCCCACCAUCACCACCAGAGUUGAGUCCAAAUCCAACACUCUAGGCCGGGUAGUGCUGGGACUUUGCCAGCCUCCUGCUGAGGUAGGGCUGGAAGUGAAUUCUCCCCUUGGCAAACUGCAGCCAGCCAGCCUCCUGGGUCGAGAGCCAAGCCAAAAGAUGUCUGAGAGAAGAAACCUGGGGUCCUGCAAAGCCCUCCUCCUCCCCCCCCCCCCCCUUCAGCCAGCACUUAGGCCCUCCCUGAUUUAGCCCGUUACCUUGACAACCACUUGGGCCUGUCUCCCUCAUCACCACUGAAAACCUGAAGGUGGUUUUCCAGCUGCGGUACAUUUGCCCAAGUUGGGCACCCCUCCAGCUUCUAUUGGCUCGCCCUCUAUACAGCUGUACCCAAUAUAACAAACACAACCUUCCUGGCCCCUCAGCUGUAGUCUCGAAAUUGAUCUCACUGGUCCCGGGAACUCCGUCAAUACUGCCUCCUCUAGACUGAGCUCCUCACAGGCAGGAACAUGGUUGUUUCUCAAUAAACAAGUUGCAAAAAAAGGAA
Molecule: long non-coding RNA, 1073 nt
Filed under: Mus musculus (house mouse)
Lineage: Eukaryota; Metazoa; Chordata; Mammalia; Rodentia; Muridae
Description: expressed sequence AI480526
Source: RNAcentral